GUGGGGAAUAUUGGACAAUGGGCGCAAGCCUGAUCCAGCCAUGCCGCGUGUGUGAAGAAGGCCUUCGGGUUGUAAAGCACUUUUGUCCGGGAAGAAAUCUUCCAGGUUAAUACCCUGGGAGGCUGACGGUACCGGAAGAAUAAGCACCGGCUAACUUCGUGCCAGCAGCCGCGGUAAUACGAAGGGUGCAAGCGUUACUCGGAAUUACUGGGCGUAAAGCGUGCGUAGGUGGUUCGUUAAGUCUGCCGUGAAAGCCCCGGGCUCAACCUGGGAAUGGCGGUGGAUACUGGCGGGCUAGAGUGCGGUAGAGGGAGGUGGAAUUCCCGGUGUAGCAGUGAAAUGCGUAGAGAUCGGGAGGAACAUCUGUGGCGAAGGUGGCCACCUGGACCAGCACUGACACUGAGGCACGAAAGCGUGGGGAGCAAACAGGAUUAGAUACCCGAGUAGUCC
This 450-nucleotide ribosomal RNA is filed under the name uncultured bacterium. Its description in RNAcentral is "partial 16S ribosomal RNA". It matches the Rfam family "Bacterial small subunit ribosomal RNA", at positions 354 to 796 of the family's 1533-position model. The record is from RNAcentral.